Molecule: RNA transcript, 5204 nt
Organism: Erpetoichthys calabaricus (reedfish)
Lineage: Eukaryota; Metazoa; Chordata; Cladistia; Polypteriformes; Polypteridae
Gene: ablim3
Gene name: actin binding LIM protein family, member 3
Exons: 22
Source: RefSeq, a predicted model, not a curated record
ACACACGCACACAAAAAGAGCGAAAUUCAGCCCUGGCGCUGGAGGAGCGCAGCGCAUCUCCCUGUCCCAGGAGCUCCGGACCUCAAGUGCAUGUCUUGGAUCGGCCUGGCUGCAGAGUCGCGCUUGGGGCUUUUCUGACGUUUCUGGAGGUGACUUGGCUGUCUCCGAAACUGAGAGGAUCUCUCGGGGGUGUUUCCUCCGGCUGUCAGGGAGGAAUGCGCCUCUGCUGCAGCUCACCGCUUCGCAAAACCGCACCUCCAUUGCGAUCGCCAGCAGCCUGCGCUGCGACCCGCCUUUGCGUUUUUGAUUUUUUAGACAGCCCCCGUGUGUUAAAUUCGAAUGCUUUGACCUUGCUGGAAGUAGAGUGGCCGGGUUUCGGAAAGCAAAGAAGACAACAAAAGGCAAGAAUGGGAGCAGAUCAGUGCAUUCUUCAAUCAAUACAGUGAUCAUCGCCGUCAUUAAAAGAACAUAUUAGGAAGGAUUUGCACUGCAUGUUUUUGCAUUAUAUCGGAUAUUUUCAAGGGAUAAUAUACACCAAAGACUCGGAAUUACAUAGGACAAGACGUCGCCUUUUUCCUCCUGCGAAGGCAUUUUUCCAAUUUCUCUGCCGGAUAACAUCAAGAGCUCCAUACCAUGAGCACGAGUGUUCCCUACCAGCAGAACUCCUACAGCACAUCAAGAGGUGCCUCUGUGAUUCAGUGCUAUCGUUGUGGAGAUGUGUGCAAAGGAGAAGUGGUGAGAGUGCAGAGCACCCAUUUUCAUGUGAAGUGCUUCACCUGUGAAGUGUGUGGGUGUGACCUUGCCCGGUCAGGAUUUUUCCAGAAAAAUGGAGAAUACAUCUGCACGGCGGAUUACCAGAGGCUCUACGGCACGCGCUGUGACAGUUGUGGAGAUUUCAUCACUGGAGAAGUGGUCUCUGCCCUUGGAAGAACUUAUCACCCAAAGUGCUUUGUCUGCAGUGUGUGCAGAAAACCUUUUCCCAUUGGGGAUCGAGUGACUUUCACUGGAAAAGAAUGUGUUUGCCAGCAGUGCUCUCUCACACUCGUCAACAGCAGCGAGCCGAUCAAGAUUCAUGGACCCAGCCACUGUGCCGGCUGUAAAGAGGAGAUUAAGCAGGGACAAUCACUGCUGGCAUUGGAGAAGCAAUGGCACGUGAGCUGUUUCAAAUGUCAGACGUGUGGUGUGGUGCUGACAGGAGAGUAUAUCAGCAAGGAUGGAGUUCCAUACUGUGAAUCUGACUACCACGCCCAGUUUGGCAUCAAAUGUGAAACCUGUGGCAGAUACAUCAGUGGAAGAGUACUGGAGGCUGGAGGAAAGCACUAUCAUCCAACUUGUGCCCGUUGUGCCCGGUGCCAUAUGAUGUUCACUGAGGGGGAAGAGAUGUACCUAACAGGGUCUGAAGUGUGGCACCCAUUGUGUAAGCAGGCAGCAAGGGCCGAGAGGAAACUCAAGCACAGACGCACAUCUGAAACCUCCAUCUCCCCUCCAGGAUCCAGUAUUGGGUCGCCAAACCGGGUGAUAUGCGCAAAGGUGGAAAAUGAGAUCCUAAAAUACAAGGAUCUCGCCGCACUUCCUAAGGUUAAAACAAUUUAUGAUGUUCAGCGACCUGAUCUCAUUUCCUAUGAACCUUAUCACAGAUACGCCUCAGAUGACAGGCUAGAAAGGCUCAGCUAUGGGGAGUCUCUGGGGACCCUUUCUCCAUAUUCACAGGACAUUUACGACAGUAUGGAUCUGAGACAGAGACGAGCUUCCAGCCCCGGCUACAUCGACUCACCAAGUUACAGUCGGCAUAGAAUGUCUCCCACGGUGCCUCGCUCUCCUCAGAACUAUUAUAGAUCUGGCACUGAAAGUGGCAGGAGUUCUCCAUACUACAGCCAAAUCGAUGUCAGAUCUACCACCUCAACUUCAUACCAAGCUCCCAAACAUUUCCAUGUGCCAGCCUCAGGAGAGUCAAACAUCUACAGGAAACCUCCCAUCUAUAAGAGACAUGACGAUCAUGAUUUUUCAGCAAUGAAAAGCAAGACCAGUGAGGACAUUGUCCAGUCAUCCAAGUAUCCCUCAGCCUAUUCUCCUGACCAUUACUACCAGUCAGAAUGUGACUACUACCAAUACUCGGGAUCCCCGAAAGCCCCCAGGGCACGCAGGUACUCAUCAGGUGGUGAAGAAGAUGGCUGGGACAACAGCCUCCACCGAAUCCAGAGUGGCAUAGGCAGGAUGAUCCUGAAGGAGGAGAUGAAGGCCCGAUCCGGCCCCUACAUGAAUGACCCAUGGGCCAGUGCUCGCAACUCUCGCAGCGGAAGCAAGGAAACACUGCACAGCAUUGGAUAUGAAACAUCCAUGAAUGGAUCUCCCCGCUCUUAUUACGGAACAGACAAUGACUCGUUUAUCUCCAAAUCAGCCUCUUUGCCUGGAUAUGGGAGGAAUGGCCUCCACAGGCCACAAACCGCUGAUUAUUUUCAGUAUGACAGCAGCAAUGCCGUGAACUGGGGAAUGAGAGAGUACAAGGUAAGAUGGCAGUUUAAGGUCUAUUCUCUCAGAGAACUGGACUGCAGCAUGUUUUACCAUCAUCUGUCAGUUGAUCAUUUUCUUAAUUGUGAAAAUGACUGAAGAUCAUGCUUAUGAGAAUCAAGCCAGACACCAAUCAACAUGUGUCCCCCAAUUGAACUGAGAAAAGCCUUGUUACUGACUGACAAAAGCCAUUAGUGUUGUGCCUCUUGAGUUGAUUUUCUGUCACUAUGUGCCUCUUGCAUUUGUUGUAAACCAGCUCUGUGCUUUUUGUGUGUUUCUUCUCUAUAGUGACUAUUACUGCUUGUUUGAAUGUGAAUUGAGAAUGUGCUAUAACAUAUACCUUCUGUUUUAUAAGGUGUACCCAUAUGAAAUGCUAAUCGUGACCACUAGGGGGCGUAACAGACUACCAAAGGAUGUUGACAGAGCCCGACUGGAGCGUCAUUUGUCUCCAGAGGAGUUCUACCAGGUUUUUGGGAUGAGCAUGGCAGAAUUUGAUCGCUUGGCCUUGUGGAAGAGGAAUGAACUAAAAAAGCAAGCAAGACUAUUCUAAUGAAGAAGCAAUUAAAAGACAUGCCAGCAUCCCAGAGCACAGAGGCAUUUCAGCUUGGAGACUGCAAAGCAUUUUGCUCAGAGGUGAAGGAUUUUUGCCUAACACCAGAAGCAGAGCGAAGUUACUUAUGAGACUGGGCCUCUCCCACAGCCUCUGGUGCAUUUCGCAAUAAACGCUCACUUGGUUGCAUUUUAAUUUGAUAUAAACUCUCUCCUAAUUUCUCCUUUGUAACUUUAUAUUACGUUUAUCCUAAAGCAGAAGUAGCUGACUAGCAAGAUGAUGAAGCUUGGCGACCUUUACAACAGGUGCUGUGUACAAAACAGUGCUGAUUUUGAAGUUGUGGAGGCAUGUGUCCAAUGGUCAGUAGAGCAAUGGCUAAAUGAUACAAGGUAAUUAGGAAAUGACUAUCAACAAAUAAUUACUGGAAUUCAGGACAUCAUCUGUUUAGAACACCUCUUUCCAAAUGAGUUGGUGCACAUGGUAGGCCUUUGGGACACAGAUACAUCAGUGCUGAUUUGCAUGCUGCUCUGGCCCACUGUCACUGUUCUCCAUUAGGCAGAGAUCCACUUUGUGCUCUCCACAAGAUAAAGGCAGAUUGAUUAUGAUGUUAAAAGCACUUUGGCCAAAUUGUUCUGACCUGGGUGACAUGCUGGAUUUAUGGUGCUAAAGUCCAUGGUUAGACAGAUUAAUUUGCUGCUGUCUAUGAAGGAAGGAUCCACUGGUGCUGACCUUAACGGCACUAUGGUCAAUAUGUGCUUAUCGUCAUAAUGUCUUUCUUCAUGUUCUGCUUUCUGUAGAUUUUGGAUUCAUUUAUUCUCCUUCCUCCCAGAAUAUCAGGAACAUCAAGCCAUUAGAUGGGUACAGCACAAGAUAAUGGCAGCGCAUUAUGACAAGAUAACCUACCCAGUUGUGUAAUUUCCAGUUGUAUAAUUUCUAGAAUGUUGUUGAUGAGUUGUUCAGACACUGAAAUCGGUCCCCUCAACGAGAUGAUGCUCUUGAUAUAUGCGAGUCAACAUUAACAAUUCCCCAAUUCAAAGUGGUCCAAAAUCUAAAAUAUGGCACGUUUACUGCAACCACUGCUUGUUAAAUUAACAUCAAGAGGAAAACGAGUUGAUUUCUGAUUUGAAUGCUGUUCUCACCAGUGCCUUUUGAUAUAUUUUUGGAAUGUUUUCAAAGAGUCAGGAAGCUUUUUUAUUUCUCUGUAUUUACUGUUCUGGGAUUUAGCAUCCGCACCCAAAGACAAGAAGAAAGAAACCAAUUUUCACUGCAGUGUUUUGAUCGUUGCACAAUAGCAAAUUGUAAGUUACAUGGACAUGGUGUGCACUCAGUAUUACAGCUUCAGGUAAAGACAGAUAAAGAUUACCUCCCUGUGUUGCAAGUACUCAUGAGAUCUGAAAAUAUGUGACCUGUACUUUGGACUCAAAUCUGUAGCUUCCUUCUUCCAGUGAAAUGGUAGCCUGACCUAGAACAAGCUCCUCCAAAGCUGCUCACUCAGUACGGUUAGCAUGAGUUGCUCAGUCUUGCAGCAAAACUUUAAAGGCCACCCACUUAGACAGAUCUGUCCACCCAGAGGCCCUAAUAGAAUGCAACUGCUGAGAGAGACAGAUAUCUCAGCUUCCUAGACUACCCCAGUGAGGGGCUUCUGUUUUACUUUAUUUUUAAUGGCUUUUUCUUUGGCUUGAAGAUGUUACCUUUCUGAUUGUUUGUAGGGUUGCUUUUGAAAAUGACAGUAUAUUACUUUAACUUAGAAUGUUUAAUAAAGAAUGGAAAUGGCUAAUCCACUUGGCUUCGUUAGCUCACGUUGGUUCUUGGCCAUUUAACUUUAAGUGUCCUAUGAAUCUGCAGCACAAGAUGACCUUGUCUUCUCUAUUAAAAGGUUUUCCAUUGGGGAGUUCUUAUAAACUCUAUUAAGAAGUACACUUUGAUGUCCCUUAACGGAUCUGCAAUUUUUUGGACGGAAGCACAAAUUGUACAGAUAAUGCAGUUUGCAGGCAAUUUAGACCUUUCCUGUGUUCUGCUUAUCAAGAAGAUAUUUUUAAGCUGUACAUUUUGUAAUGGUAUAUAGCAGCCUAGCCACUGUCAGUACUGUAUCAAUAAAAUGACCUAUAUCUUAUAUUUAAAUAAAUGUGUUCUUUUCAUGUCUAAA